GCCCGGGUGGCUCAGUCGGUUAAGCGUCUGACUUCAGUUCAGGUCAUGAUCUCGCGGUCCGUGAGUUCAAGCCCCGCAUUGGGCU
Molecule: transfer RNA, 85 nt
Filed under: Felis catus (domestic cat)
Lineage: Eukaryota; Metazoa; Chordata; Mammalia; Carnivora; Felidae
Also listed under: 1 other name
Rfam family: tRNA
About the family: Transfer RNA (tRNA) molecules are approximately 80 nucleotides in length.
Source: Rfam by way of RNAcentral